UUGGCGACUUUGUUUAGUCCAUCAUUGUGAGCGUGCGGUUGUGCUUCGCUAAGUCGUGUUCUCAUUUUUCGAGGUGCGACACCAUUGUUGUUAAGUUUGAAGGAAAGGAGAAAUCUAGGUCUGCUUGAAGGUUAUUUAAGAAGAUGAAAAGUUAGAGUGUUUGGAGAUUUCAGAAAGCGUAAAAAAGGGAAUUGGUAUUAGGUGUGUAUUUUAUAAGCGUUUUGGAAGGA
RNAcentral lists this long non-coding RNA (230 nucleotides) under Lathyrus oleraceus (garden pea). Its description in RNAcentral is "Pisum sativum (pea) long non-coding RNA (PSAT_LNC019519)". The record is from RNAcentral. Lineage: Eukaryota; Viridiplantae; Streptophyta; Magnoliopsida; Fabales; Fabaceae.